RNAcentral lists this long non-coding RNA (994 nucleotides) under Pomacea canaliculata. RNAcentral describes it as "uncharacterized LOC112558264, transcript variant X2". The record is from RNAcentral. Lineage: Eukaryota; Metazoa; Mollusca; Gastropoda; Architaenioglossa; Ampullariidae.
CCCUCUCUCCUUCGGUCACGGGGGUGUCACCCGGCAAGUAAUUGCCCCCAUCGCCAGCCUGUACCUGCCCUGUGUGCGUGUGUAUGCGUGCCAUCUUCCAUCAUCCUUAUAUACACUGUUCCAUAUACUACCAUAUAUAUAUAUAGGACACCUGGCUACCGGUACGAGAGGGACGCUCAGGCCUGACGAGAGGGGGGGUCUGGUGUACCGGGCCCGCGGCUGUCAAGGGGGCCCGGCCUUGCGGAUGACCCAGCGCUUCCAGUCCAUGUGGAAUGAGUGCAUGGUCCCCCAGCAUCUUAAGGAUUCCAACACAGUCCACAUCUACAAAAGAAAGGGAAACCACCAGUCCUGCAAUAACCACAGGGUUAUCUCAUUGCUGUCCAUAGCUGGCAAAAUCAAGGCACGGCUUCCUUCAUUAUCUUUAGAGGAACAUGCUUCCUGAAAGCCAGUGUGGGCGUCGUCUGCUGUUUCAACAAAUCCUGUCCAUCUGACCUCCACCAGUCCCACAAUGUCGCACUGGUACCGUUAACUCAUGGGGACAGCUUUAUGUGAGGGUGGUGUCCAGUCCUAACACUUUAUGGAGUCAGAUAGCCAUUCCCAACAGCUGGGUCAACUGGAGGAAGAUUGUUGUGCCACUCAGUUUGGACACCUGUUUCCAACUACUCGGCUAUCUGCUUCUCAGUAAUUGUAUGCAUACCUCCAACUGGCUUUCAUAUAGAUUCAUCAGACGUCAGGAGAAUGUGGUUCUCUGGAUGGCUAUGUGACUGGCUGAAGAAAGUUAAUCUUUGUUGGUGAACUUGGUUUGGUAAAGCACCACUUAGAAGAUUGAUCAGUUUGAGCACCAGGACAGGAACUGAAGAAGUAUAUGAGUUUGCGUUAUGUGAAAAAAUCAAUAGAAUUUCAACGGAGAUUGCUUGUGUAAUGAGCAGUUAAGACCGGUCUUUUCAUAAUGACAUAUUACAACCGAAUUUAGUUUAUGAACAUUUCAUAUGUU